This 6971-nucleotide long non-coding RNA is filed under the name Phaseolus vulgaris (common bean). RNAcentral's name for it is "long non-coding RNA (PVUL_LNC001890)". Lineage: Eukaryota; Viridiplantae; Streptophyta; Magnoliopsida; Fabales; Fabaceae. The record is from RNAcentral.
CACUGUUUUCUCAUUCAAAGAAACAAUCAUCAGAACAAUAGUCAAAAGGAAUUAAAUAGCCCUUCAUGUAAUACUAUUAAUCUCAAUAUAUAAUUAAUCCUCCAAAGAAAUCAAAUUGAAUGUAUAUAAAACUGUUUACUAGCACAAUAAUCAUAUUUUACUACAUAGCUAUAUUUUACCUUCAACAAAAUGGCAUCAGCUGGAGGAAUUGCCUCAAACAUGUCUCCUCCAACAUAUUUAAGGUUCUCACUUCCUUGCAAGCCAGAAACAACAUGUGGAAGAUCAAAUACAGUGCAUUCCAACUGAGGAAACGAUUUGGAAAUGGCCUUUCCCAUGGUUCCUGUACCUCCCCCAACAUCAACCAAUGACUCCAGUCCCAUGAACACCCCUUUGCAUUUCUCAAUCACCACACUAGUGACUAAUUGAGCAUCACUUGCCAUGGCAUCAUUGAAUAAUAUAUUAAAUCUGGGAUCACUGCCUGCAUACUCCCAAAACGGCUUCCCAUGUGCCAUUUCAAAUGUUGUAGGACUGUCAUUUUUGAACCAAUUAGAAAACUGAUUCCAUGGAUUUGUGAAAGCCGGAUCAAGCUUGGCCUGCAAGUAAGGCGUCAUACUCAUUGCAUGGCUCUUAAGCAGAAGUAAAGAGGAAUCAGUGAGUGCAUACUUGACUUCAAGCUCAUUCUCGGUGGGAUUGUGUUGAGAGAAGAAGCCAGAUUGGACCAUGAUUCGCAUCAAGCGAUGGAUGAAGUGGGUUUUGGAUGAAUGAAUUGGCAGUGAAGAAAUGAGGUUUGAGAGGGACAUGGGUUGGCCAUGGUUGUGUAUGAUAUCUGGUAUGCCUAAGUCAACAAUACACUUAAGGGACAUGGAGUUUAUGAAGCUCAAAAUAUGAUUCCAUACGUGUGUUUGGGCUCUCAGUAGUUUUGCAGAUUGAUCUUCUCCACAGGAUUCCAUUAUUUGCUGCCUUAAACUUCUUGUUCGAUUUGGGCUAUUGAACCUCUCAUUAUUUGGCUUUAUUUAUAAGCAAAUACGGAAGCAGUCACAUUAUAGUGUAUGGCUUUCCUUUGAAUUUUUAUGAAAAAAAGCAUAGAGUUAUAAUGCCCCUUUAUUAUUGGAUUAUAUAUUACUAAGAAUGAAUUUGAGGCAAAUCUUAAUAAGAAAUAAGAAAUUAUAAAUUUAUAAAUUUACUGUUUUAAUAUUUUGGAUUGAAAAUAAAAUCUUAAUUAUUUAUAAAACUCAUAGUUAAUCUGAUAUAUGUUCUUAGUCCUUUACAAAUUAUUAUAGAUAUAGGAGUUUAUAUUUUAAUAAAAAUUUAUAAAUUACUUUUUAAAUUGGUUUUUAAUUAUUUAUCAAGUUCUUUAUAUUUUAGAAUUGAUUACUAAAAUUUGACUAAGUAAUUAGAUAACAGUUAGCUAAUUAGAUAAUAAUUAACUAAUUAGAUACCAAUUUAAAAAUUAGUUUAUAAUUUUUAAUCAAUAUAAUAAAUAAUUCUUUUUUUUAUAUAAAAUUAGUUUAUAUUUAAUAAUUUUUUACAUUCCCUUAAACAAUGAUAACCAUUUCAAAAAAAUAUAUAUUUCACUUCAAACGCAAUUGCUCUGAUACCAUAUUAAGCCUAACUCAACCCCAUAAAACCAGUUCAUGAGAUUGAAGUUUGCACCCACUUACAUACAAUGAAAAACUCUAAUCUUUAAUGGACGUGGGAUCUCCAACAUACAUUCCCUUAAACAAUGAUAACCAUUUCAUAUAUAUAUAUAUAUAUAUAUCACUUCAAACGCAAUUGCUAUCACUUGACCAAAUAUUAGCUUAAAAAUUAUUGUUUAUAAUAAAAACAAUUUUCCCUUAAGUGAAUGAUAAUUUCUUAGUAGUUUAAAGUGGAGAUUUCCCUAUUUAAACUUUUAUGUGACGAUUUCUGGUACACAAAGUAAUAAAAAAUGUGUUUUCAUCUCUUCAAUGAAUAUUUGGCCUAACCAAAUUUUAUAAUGAAUAAAAUUUAAUUUUCUUUAGAAAAUGUUGUCAUUAAAGUGCUAAUAAUAUUCUAUAUAUGUUAUAAUAACUUAUAAAGAAUUUGAUGAAGUAUUGUUCGCGCAUGUUAUUUAUCUAUGUGUAUAUUAUUAAUUAUAGAUUCUUAAUUUUUUAUUAUAGAAUUUCAAUUACUUAAAGUUUACUAAUAUAAAAACUUAAAAAUGAAAUGGAAUGAGUAGUUCGAUCCUAAAAGAAUUUACAAAGAAAAAGAAAAUCUAUGUAGUUGGAAAUAUAAAUUCAAUCUUAUGAUGAUAAUUUGUUUGUUGAUCGAGUUUGUGGGAGAGGUUACUUAUCAUUUACAAUUAAUUGUUAUCAAAAGAAAAUUACUUACCAUUCUGAAUUAAUUAUUUUAUUUAUUUAUUUAUUAUUAUUGUCUCCUAGAACCACUAUAUAUACUGACUUUCUCCGAGCAAUGUAACACAACAAAACAACAACAUUCACUUGUUUUCUCUCUCCUUUCAUAUAUUCUCUAUUUUUUUUUUCUUCGAUGUAAGUGUUUAACCCAUAUAGAAAGAAUUUGUUUUGAGGUUAUUUAUCUAUUAGCUUGAGAAGAAUUCAUUGUACUCCCAGUACCAUUACAGUGAAAAUUUUGAUUCUUACAUCGUUGAUUUUUUACCUUUAUUUAAAAAAGUUCUUCACCAAAAAAAAUUUGAUAUCAUUCUUAUUUUUCUUAUUACUUUAAUUUUUCAUAAUUUUUAAUUAAAACUAUCACGCUUCCACACGAUAUCCUCCAAAGUUGAAAGCCAUGUAACCUUAACAUUUGGUAAAAGUGAACAACAUAGUUAAGUUUUUGUUUUCCCAUUUAUAUUCCAUACACAAAAAGUAGUUUGACAAAUCUUUGUUUUCGUAUUAAUUAUGGUGAGUCCUUUCACAUUCCUAACUUUUUCUCAUAGCUUCAAUCAUAAAACUGCAAACCUUCCAAUAUUUUUCAUGGUUUAGGCAUGGACCAUGCUUUAGGUAUGCGUGUGCCCAUUUAUAUUUAUGAUAUAUGUACAAAUUAAUUAUAUCUUGACAACCAAAUUAAAUAUUUCUCGAACAAUUAUAUUAAUAUUUUUAUUUUCUAAUUAAAAAUAUUAUUAUGUAUAAUUAUAUUAUUAAAAAUAAAUCGUUAAGGUAAUAUUUAAUUUUUUUCAUAUACAUAAUGGUUGUUUUCUGUAUGGAUUGGUGUCGGCAAUGGAUAUAACAUCUACAAUUUAUAUUCAUAAGUUUUUUUCUUAUAAAAAUGAAUUUCAAAAUAAUAUGUGAAAACUUAAAUAAAAUAUUAUUCAAAUUCACUGUAUAUACUCUAUAAAUAUUUGUUUGCAAAUAAUUUUUUCUAAAACUAUAUAUAGUUAAUAUGCAUUUUUUUCAAUUUUUACUCCAAUUUUAUUUUCUAUACUCAAGCCAUAUAAUAAGUUUACUCAAAAUAUUACACCUAAUAAACUCAAAUCCUACUACAUAAUUUAGUAUAAUCCUACUGCAUAAUUUAGUAUAGUAAAUCAAAAUAUUCAUUUAUAGAAGUUUUUUUUUAAAAUAAAAAAUUUCAUGUUAGACAUCACUAUUUAACUUUGACAUCUCAGCUAUGCUGACACCUCAAGUAACAAUAAUCACAUGAAAAAGGUAUUAUUAAAAAAAAAUACAAAAAUACAAAAAUCUGUGAGGACUAUAUCAAAACUCAUAUGUUAACAAAGACGAUACAUAGGUAGACUAUGCCUAUUCAUAAAUAAUUCUAAGAACAGAUUAGGUGGUAGCCUAUUAUACCAAUGAAAAGAUUUUCUAUGAAUAAAUCCAAAAUUAGUCAACUUAUCAUCACACGCAUUUCCUUCACAAAAAAUAUGAGUAACCUUAAACUUAAUUUCCCCACAGUAAUUAAGACAAGUAUUCUGUAGAUUACGAAGCAUCUAAGGAACAUUUGUUUUAGCAGUAAACGCGACACAAACCAAAGCAAAAUCACAUUCCAGCCAGACAUUAGUAAGCCCCAUCUUUUGAGUUUCCUCAUAUGUAUAACCUCAUAAAACUCAGCAACCAUAGCAGUUUGAACUUCAAGAAACGCAAAAAAAAACUCCAAUAAAUCUCCAUACUCCCACGAAAAAUACCUUCACAAGUAGCAAGAUCAGGAUCCCCCUAGCAAUCUCAUCGGUGUUAAUUUUAACUCAGCCUGGUGAAGGAAACUCCCAUCUAACAGUAAGAGGACGUAGAACUUUAUCAGUACGAGUGUUAGCUUUAGACGAAUUACCCACUAAACAAGUUAAAUCUUUAAUAACCAAAAUAGUCCUAGAAACCUCAAUCUUAUCCUAAAAACUAGAAUAAUUCUUCAUACGCAUAACAUCCGAAUAAAAAAAGUUAUCACAAUAAGCUUAAUCAAUUUAAUCAAAGAACUAUCAUCAAUCUUAAUAAAAGAAAGAAAAUUAUCCACAAACUUCACUUAAUAAAAUAAUAAACUACAUAAAAGAUGUCGUUUACAUUAUAUUAUAUGAACUAAAGCUUCAUGAAUUUUUCUUUCUUUCUUAAUACCUACUCCUUUCUCUAUUUCUUUUGAACAUCAUCUCCCCUUUAUCUCAUAAAACUCUUAUGUCUAUCCACUCUCUUCAACUCCUUUUUUAGAAAGGAAGUUACAUUUUUAUUAUUAUUAUUCCUCUUAAUUGCUAUUGAUGAGUACUUAUAUUCAUUCAAAAAAAUUUAGUUGACAUUAUAAUAAUAAAAAUAUCCACCAUCAAUUUUAUUUUUCGUCUAAAAAUAUAUUUAUACUUUCUUAAAUUAUUUAUUUUUAAAAUAUUUAAAUAUAUAUAUACUUUAUAUUUUUAACUAAAAGCAAUUCAAAAAAAAUAAACAAAAAUAAUAAACUAUAUAUUUAUAUAAACUUAAUUUAAUAUUUGAAAAUUAUGGAUCUACGUCUGAAAAACAUUAUUGUUUUUUAGUAGUUUUAAUGAUUUUAUGAUUUUUUUUUAAUGUUUGUCCAUCGGUUAAUUAAAAGAUUAGGUAGUUUUCACAAAUAAAUAUAUUAAAGAAACAUAACAUACAAAUAUAUUAUCUCUUACUUAACACUACAAGAAAAUCAUGAAAUAGAAACCAAUUUUAGAAACAAAAAAUAAUUAGUUGUUAUAGUGACUAAAUUAGAGACCAUUUUAGAAACUAAACAAAAAUGGUUUCUAAAUUAGUUUAUAUUAUUGUUAAAUAGUUACUAAAUUGGUAUCUAAUUAGCUAAAGUUUUAAUUACCAAUUAUUUAGAUUCUAAAUUUGGUAACAAAGACUUUGGUAACUAAUUAGUUAGCAAUUUAGAAAUCAUUUAACAAUAAUACAAACUAAAAGUUUGUUUAGUUUCUAAAAUGGUCUCUAAUAUAGUGGUUAUAGCAACUAAUUAUUUUUUAUCUCUAAAAUUUUAUUUUUUUUUCUUGAUUUCUGUAGUGGAAGUGAAACACAAUGUUUAAUCAAUGAUAACUUGACAUUUUAUCUACAAAGCACUCAUGUUACAAACAUCUUAUCUCUUGUUUGUUUAAGCAGUCUUGUUUAAGUGAUAAUUUUUGUUUCUUGACAAUUUUUGCAAUUCACUCUUAGUAACACCUUUAUUACAAAAGUUACUACUCAUUCUAUUCAUACAUAAUUUUAAAGAAAAUAUUUGACAUCACAAUUUUCUUUACUUAUCAUAAUUUUAUGAACUUUUUCAACAUAUGCUUCAAGGAUUACAUGUACGGGUCACAAAAUUCAUUACGUUACGUGUCCAUUUAUAUUUGUGAUAUAUAUACAAAGAGAUUACAUUAUGACAAUAAAACAAAUACUUCUCAGUAAAUUAUGUUAAUAUUUUAUUAGUUACAUGUUUUUUUUAAUUUAGAAUAUUAAUAUAUUAUUAAAAAGAAAUUGUUAAGGUAAUAUUUUGAUUUUUUUUAUACAAAAUGGUUGCUUUUAGUAUUGAAGACCGCAAAGACAUGAACUGUUUUUAGUAAUUUUGAUGUUUUUUGGAUUCUUUGGAUGUUUUCCAUACUGUUCAAACACACAAAAAAAAACAAUUGUACAGCCAAAUUAAAAGAUUAGGUAGUUUUUAAAAAAAAAAAAUAAAUAAAUAAUAAAUAAUAAUAUAUAUAUAUAUAUAUAUAUAUAUAUAUAUUAAAGAAACAUAUAAAACAUUCAGAUUUGCUUAUUUUUUAUUUAAAAUUAUAAAUACAAACAAACUGACUCAUUAAUUUAUUGUUACAUAUACCCCAACAUUCAUGAAACAAAAGAUUAAUAGCCUCACACAAUCUUAUUCACUUACUAUGGAUAGAUUUCAAUGAGAGAUCUUAAUCCCACAACGGGAGUUAUCUUGUAGUUAUUAAAACCAGCUGAGGAAAAUAACUUAACCCAUUCCUUCUUGUUUCUUUCCUUUCCUGUGAAGAACACCAUCAUCAACAUAUCAAAGAAGAGCUGUGUUUCAAAUGAUUCAUCAUCUUUCAUUUCUUUGUCCACCACCAUGUCUAUGAUUAUCACCUUCCCUUCCUUGCCUUUCCUCGAUAACGCUUCCUUGCAUUUCUUCAAUAUGUUCACACUAUCCUCAUCACUCCAGUCAUGUAAUAUCCACUGUUUUCUCAUUCAAAGUAAUACUCAUCAGAACAAUAGUCAAAAGGAGAUAAUUAGCACCUCAUGUAAUACUAUUAAUCUCAAUAUAUAUAAAUAAUCCUCCAAAAAAAUAAAAUUGAGUGGAUCUAAAAUUGUUUCACUAUAGCAUGAGCACAAUAUCAUAUGCUACUACAUAGCUCCUUAUUAACUAUGAUCCGUGACAAUAUUUUACCUUCAACAAAAUGGCAUCAGCUGGAGGAAUUGCCUCAAACAUGUCUCCUCCAACAUAUUUAAGGUUCUCACUUCCUUGCAAGCCAGAAACAACAUGUGGAAGAUCAAAUACAGUGCAUUCCAACUGAGGGAAUGAUUUGGCAAUGGCCUUUCCCAUGGUUCCUGUACCUCCCCCAACAUCAACCAAAGACUCCAGUCCCAUGAACACCCGUU